RNAcentral lists this long non-coding RNA (1154 nucleotides) under Heterocephalus glaber (naked mole-rat). Its description in RNAcentral is "lncRNA (ENSHGLG00100046801.1)". Lineage: Eukaryota; Metazoa; Chordata; Mammalia; Rodentia; Bathyergidae. The record is from RNAcentral.
UAGAAAUUAAAACAGGUAAUUUUAAGAAACUCAAUUGUGCUUUUUCUUUUACUGAUUAUUUGGAAAAUGGAAAAAACUGCCAAAGCAUUCCCUCUACCCUUCAAGGAAGAUUCAGAUAAAACAUCACAUUGUGCGUUUGUACACUGCUAAGCAAAGUCACACCUUCAGUAGUUGGGUAGUUUGCUUGGCUACCUUACAGUCCUUUACCUAGCAGGUGAUGUGCUGAAACAUCUGCUUUGAAAAAGUAAAGAACAACAACAAUGACGACAAAGAUGAGACUAUUUACAUAGCACAGACACUGCUUCUCUCUCUGGCCUGCAAAUUUGGGAGUAGGGUUGUGUCAGCAGACCCUGGCACAGUCUACUGUGAGAAUAGAGAAAACUAUCAGGAUGAAUUCUGAACAGCUUCACUUGGAGGUCCAAGAGCAAGGAGCAAUUCACAUGUUAAAAGCAGGAGUCAUGGAAUCUUCACCUCUCACUUCUGGCCCGUACUCCAGCUGGCUGAAUGGCACCACUCUCCCCAAAUCAGUACUUCUCAUCUCUCUCUGAAGGCUGUUCCCACCCCCAACAGGCUUUCCUGUUUGCAGUCAUCCUGCAUAUCUGUUCUUCUCAUCAUCACUAGAGUGCAUGAGUGACAUAAGACUUACCUCUGACCAUGUCACUGCUCAGCCUAAAACCACUGAAAGCUUCACACAUGAGAUAAAUGCACGCAAAGAUUCCUCAGAAGUAGCUCUUUGGAUCUUCAGAUGUGAAAUGGAUCAUUCCUCAAUCUGUAAUAGAAGCUUCUGUGAAGCUUUGCAAUCAAACCUGAGAAGUCAAGGUGAAAUUGAAGGAAGGAUGGAAAACCUCUAUGUGUUGCAUUUUGUAGCAUCCUAAACAGAAGGAUAUUGCAGGGAGCUGAUUCUGCUUUGAUCCUUGUGCUUGUUGUCAAAGCGCUUGGGAUUGAAGAGACUGUUGGCUACAAUUGACUGUGACAAUUAGGAGAUGAUCAGAGCCCUAGAGUGGAGCACUUAAAGGUUUUGCAUUUAAAACACUCUUGGAGCACUAACUCUUUUUAAGGAGGUAAUGAGUGAAUAAAUGAAAAGGCAGAGAUUAUUCACCAUUCUAAAAGGAGAUUGUCAGACCAUUUCUACUUGACUAAAAUUGUUUUUGAAG